ACGCUAGCUACAGGCUUAACACAUGCAAGUCGAGGGGCAGCAUGUUGGUUGCUUGCAACCAAUGAUGGCGACCGGCGCACGGGUGAGUAACGCGUAUCCAACCUACCCAAUACUCAGGCAUAACCCGUUGAAAGACGGACUAAUUCCUGAUGGUAUGUAUUUUUCUCAUGAGUUAUACAUUAAAGAAUUUCGGUAUUGGAUGGGGAUGCGUCUGAUUAGUUUGUUGGUGAGGUAACGGCUCACCAAGACUUCGAUCAGUAGGGGUUCUGAGAGGAAGGUCCCCCACAUUGGAACUGAGACACGGUCCAAACUCCUACGGGAGGCAGCAGUGAGGAAUAUUGGUCAAUGGAUGCAAAUCUGAACCAGCCAAGUAGCGUGCAGGAUGACGGCCCUAUGGGUUGUAAACUGCUUUUAUGUGAGAAUAAAGUUAGGUAUGUAUACUUAUUUGCAUGUAUCACAUGAAUAAGGACCGGCUAAUUCCGUGCCAGCAGCCGCGGUAAUACGGAAGGUCCAGGCGUUAUCCGGAUUUAUUGGGUUUAAAGGGUGCGUAGGCCGUUUGAUAAGCGUGCUGUGAAAUAUAGUGGCUCAACCUCUAUCGUGCAGCGCGAACUGUUGAACUUGAGUGCGUAGUAGGUAGGCGGAAUUCGUGGUGUAGCGGUGAAAUGCUUAGAUAUCACGAAGAACUCCGAUUGCGAAGGCAGCUUACCGUAACGCUACUGACGCUUAAGCACGAAGGUGCGGGUAUCGAACAGGAUUAGAUACCCUGGUAGUCCGCACAGUAAACGAUGGAUGCUCGCUGUUGGCCUAUUGUGGUCAGUGGCUUAGCGAAAGCGUUAAGCAUCCCACCUGGGGAGUACGCCGGCAACGGUGAAACUCAAAGGAAUUGACGGGGGCCCGCACAAGCGGAGG
This 909-nucleotide ribosomal RNA is filed under the name uncultured bacterium. RNAcentral describes it as "bacterial SSU rRNA". It matches the Rfam family "Bacterial small subunit ribosomal RNA", at positions 33 to 935 of the family's 1533-position model. The record is from RNAcentral.